AGGAAAUCAACUUCCAAAGGAAAUUUGAGGAGAUGGGAGUGCAACUAGGGCUUUGGAUCUCAACCAAAUAUCUGAUUGGAGGGUCCAUAUUGCAUCAAAAACUGGAGAAAAACGAUGAAGAAUUGGCUGCAGCACGGAGGCACACGACUUGUCAUAUGGGAGGGACGGUCCAGAUUGUUUGACAACAUCAGAUAAACGACUGAAAACAAACCAAGUCAGCACGACCCGUUUGACAAACACGCGGAUCAUCAAACUAGUCGGCUUUUUAUGUGGGUAAUUAACGUUGUGCCACGUUAGUGUACAGUCAAGG
RNAcentral lists this long non-coding RNA (310 nucleotides) under Prunus persica (peach). RNAcentral describes it as "long non-coding RNA (PPER_LNC002388)". Lineage: Eukaryota; Viridiplantae; Streptophyta; Magnoliopsida; Rosales; Rosaceae. The record is from RNAcentral.